AAAACCAGUAAUUAAAGUUCAUAAGGGGGAGAUUUACCGUUAUAAAUUAAAGUUUAGAUACUUUAUUGUUACAUGUCCUAAGUUGAGGUACCGUCCAUAUAAUUUAUCCUAAAGAUGAGGAGUUCAACUUGUUUAGCCAAAGAGGAAAACUGUACACGCAACAAAUGGUUACAACAUAAAACAUUAUAUCAUGAAUUGCUUCAUUUUCUGUAAAUCUGAGACAACAUUCUAUAGAAGAAAGAACAAAGGGAGGGGGAAUCUCUCACUUUUUCUACCCUUUCAUACCUGGCUUCUCUAUAAAUUAGCAAGUAUCUCAACUUCUAAGAAGAGGCAGAAAUUUUCAGCCUUAUGAUAUUGGCCUCUUAUUGCUAUUGAGGCGAAGAACCUCAUUUACUAGCUUCUCUGGUAAUUCUUUUCUAGUCUGCAAAAUGGGAAUCAAAAGAGAGCCAGGCUUAGAUCGCAAAAUGCGCACCAUGAAAUGAUUUGAUAGAUUGAAGACUCCAAAAGGCUAACCUGAAAGUGUCUCAUGUGCAGUAUCGGUUCACAUCCAACAUCUGCAAUUGAUCUUCCGCUGGGAGUUUGCACUUUAAAUCGCUCAGCCUCAUAUGCCACAAUGGCAUUUUUCUCAUCAGGCAGGUGCUGGCAAACUUCUAUAAGGGAAUUAAGAGAGUUCAU
Molecule: unclassified non-coding RNA, 675 nt
Filed under: Hevea brasiliensis (rubber tree)
Lineage: Eukaryota; Viridiplantae; Streptophyta; Magnoliopsida; Malpighiales; Euphorbiaceae
Source: RNAcentral